GGCUGGUCCAAGUGCAGUGGUGUUUACAAUUAAUUGAUCACAGCCAGUUACGGAUUUUGUUCCUUCUCCACUCCCACUGCUUUACUUGAAUAGAGGAA
This is a non-coding RNA of Canis lupus familiaris (dog), 98 nucleotides long. The record is from Rfam. Lineage: Eukaryota; Metazoa; Chordata; Mammalia; Carnivora; Canidae.